Oncorhynchus gorbuscha (pink salmon) is the source of this 523-nucleotide long non-coding RNA. RefSeq lists it as uncharacterized. The transcript has 3 exons. The record is from RefSeq and is a predicted model, not a curated record. Lineage: Eukaryota; Metazoa; Chordata; Actinopteri; Salmoniformes; Salmonidae.
UAGGACUGCACGCGUCGGUAGAUAGCAGUGGGACUAGAGCACAUACCGGGCCCGGUACCAAAGGAUACACCCACCACGUAAAUUAAUUUUCAUUGUAGCCUGUCGGUUGGGUUAUGGAACGUAUAAUUCCGCUUUCAUGACGUUCCUAAUCUUUGGUAUGGAAUUGCAUCACAUGUCAAGGUUGGUUUCAAAACAUCAGGAUUUGAAGAAGUUGCAAUGAAGGACAUGUGUUUCCAGCGUUAUCACACAAAAUGCCCAGAGGUGGCCAUAUUUUAUGAUCUUAAUGGUGAUCUGAACAAGAAUCUGCUGGUGCCAGGCCCAUUCUAGAAACGCACCUCCACUCCCUAUCCUCCAUCUGGGAAGUGCACCAUGUGUCUCCAGGAUGAUUAUUCUUAUGCUUUGUGCAGAAGUGUGUCAGAGAGCCUCCAGCCUGCCCUGGAGGCCAAUAGCACAGCCGUUACCAACUAUAAACAAACCAGUGAGUGUCUCUGAAGGCCCAAGAUAGUACAAUGUGUAAGAAAUG